AUCGCUUCUUGGCCUUUUAGCUAAGAUCAAGUGUAGUAUCUGUUCUUACCAGUUUAAAUACGGUAACAAACUACAGUAGUCUGGUACCUGUGGCUUAGUCACCAAUAGAAAUCAAGAUAAUUUCAUAUAACAUUAUAGUUACCCCAGAUGUCUCAAAAUAUUUGCCCUGAUCGCUAUUGCAAAAUUAUGGAAGUUACUUAACUUGCCAUUAGAUCUUUUUGUAU
Molecule: small nuclear RNA, 224 nt
Filed under: Nomascus leucogenys (northern white-cheeked gibbon)
Lineage: Eukaryota; Metazoa; Chordata; Mammalia; Primates; Hylobatidae
Description: U2 spliceosomal RNA
Rfam family: U2 spliceosomal RNA (bases 1-135)
About the family: U2 is a small nuclear RNA (snRNA) component of the spliceosome (involved in pre-mRNA splicing). Complementary binding between U2 snRNA (in an area lying towards the 5' end but 3' to hairpin I) and the branchpoint sequence (BPS) of the intron results the bulging out of an unpaired adenosine, on the BPS, which initiates a nucleophilic attack at the intronic 5' splice site, thus starting the first of two transesterification reactions that mediate splicing.
Source: Rfam by way of RNAcentral